UCCUUGCCAACAAUAACCAUAAGAAUGCUGAAAUCAAUUAACUAAUGUCAGAAAAAAGGAUUUUAAAACACAAAAUGUUACAUAAAAACAGACAUUUUCUAUUUGCAGGACGGCUCAGCUGGUCAAAGUGAUGGAUGUGUAAGCUUGAAGUCCCACUCUGAUCCCUGGAACUCAUGUAAAAAAUGGAAGGAGAGAACAGAUUCCACAAAAUUGUCAUCUGACCUCCAUACACACAGUAGUAAUAAUAAUAACAGCAAUACAUGAUAAAAGGGAAUAUUUUAUGAAUAAAAGGUCAAUCCAUUAGUAAGACACAACAAUUAUAAAUGUAUACUUAAUAUGAUUCUGUGUAAUUUUCUUGUAUUUCUAUUUACCCCAGAUAGAGAGGGCAUUGACAGACCAAAAAGAUUUCAUCCAAAUCCAGCUUGGAGAAACAUUGAUUUCAUUGGCAUGACUUACAGGAGCAUGUGUGGAGGCCUACUUCCAAAGCAUAGGUGACUUGGCAGCUGCAUCACCAAAAAGCCUCACUGUGACAUGGAUGCUGACUCACAAACACUGCAUCACCAAGGUCACUGGAGUCCCUCCAGCAUCUUAAGGCUGCUGCACUACCAAAGGAGCUGUCUUCCCCAGCAACCGUUCACUGCCAUGUAAAGGGGUCUUUCGAGGCUUCCUUCUCCCUUCAUGAGAGAUUGCUAAUGAGCCAAAUCUUGUGACCUCUUGAGAGACACCCGCAUGUGAUUGCAGCUGCUCUGCUUCAAGACAACAACAGUCAUGACCAACCUGGAGGAAACAGCCACAUAAAAUAAGAGAAAUAGAUGAAGAAAACACAGACAAGAUGGGGCAUGUUCAUGGUAACACUCCAUCAGAGCAAGAACUCAAGCAUCAUGUCAGGAAUGGUGAUGCAGGCAUGGUGCUUCCUACCUUCUGCUCUGUGCUUCCAGCCCACAAGCAUGGAGGCCCUUUUAUUCUGCUGACAGUGCUAGAGUUUGAACCCACAGCCUUACACAUGCUAAGCAAGCACAGUGCCACUGAGCUACAUCCCCAGGUCUUGGAAUGUGACUUUUAAAAGCAUCUGCUGUUCAAAGGUCCAAAAUCAAUAGUGAGAAGAGCCCCAAGAUGGCUGAUGGACUACCACCUCCAGAUUGAUAUCUUGGGAAUAAAUGUCAAGGAUAAAAAUGGAAGUCAUCUUUUCCAGGAGGCCUAAUCAUAAACAUUCUCAGGCUAUUUUUACUGGAGAAUGUGCUGCGACACUGCUCCUGGACUCUUCUCAGAAGAACACAAGCCAGAAAGACAUCACAGAGCCUUCUACCAGACACAGCAGGAAAGGAAACGUCUGUUGGCACUAGAGAGGGUUAAUAUUCAAACCAAUAAUUGGGGGAACUAUGCUUUCCCCAUAUACUUUAACAAAUCCUGUGUAAUCCCCACUUUUCCUCAUCUGAUAUGGGAUCAGCCCAUUUCAUAGUCCUGUCGUCAAUAAAAUAUAGAGACAACAGAAAGGAUGCAAGAGCAGACUUGUAUGUAAUUCUACAUAGCUACACAUUUCAUUUGCCUUUCCGUCAUGUUUUCUUGGAUCUGAGAUCUAUGAGGAGGAUGUAACAAUAAUUCUGUA
Molecule: long non-coding RNA, 1606 nt
Organism: Peromyscus eremicus (cactus mouse)
Lineage: Eukaryota; Metazoa; Chordata; Mammalia; Rodentia; Cricetidae
Exons: 3
Source: RefSeq, a predicted model, not a curated record